Molecule: ribosomal RNA, 253 nt
Filed under: uncultured bacterium
Lineage: Bacteria
Description: partial 16S ribosomal RNA
Rfam family: Bacterial small subunit ribosomal RNA
Source: RNAcentral
UACGCAGGUGGCGAGCGUUGUCCGGAUUUACUGGGCGUAAAGGGAGCGUAGGCGGACUUUUAAGUGAGAUGUGAAAUACUCGGGCUCAACUUGAGUGCUGCAUUUCAAACUGGAAGUCUAGAGUGCAGGAGAGGAGAAUGGAAUUCCUAGUGUAGCGGUGAAAUGCGUAGAGAUUAGGAAGAACACCAGUGGCGAAGGCGAUUCUCUGGACUGUAACUGACGCUGAGGCUCGAAAGCGUGGGGAGCAAACAGG